GGAAUAUCAAUAUAGUCUGCAAUAUUUACCAACUACAAAAGGUGUGACAUAGUAGGAAUCAAUUUAACCAUCACAAUUCUAGUACCUACUACACACACAUUAGGUACAGAUGCCAAAUCUUAAUUUGAUCAUCAUAAAAAUAUAUUUGCUUAAGAAUAUUUGUGGCAAGGAAUGAGAAUUUGUUGUGGGAUUAAGGCUUCAAUUAAUGGCUUCAAACACUUAUUACAUUUGUAACAUUCUGUUCCUAUUCCUGAGUACACUGUUGAGAAUCCUAUUAACAAGAGCCGAGACAUAGCUUCACCUUAAAUUAACAAUUGGCCCACACGUUUCAAAAUGUCCCACUGAGACUAGCAAUAAUACCGGACGUAGCUAAUUAUAAAUGUCAGCAUGUGUCAACCCCAUCAGGCCAACUUAAAGACAUAUCAAAUGCAUAUCUGUACACUAAUCCUCAGCACUGAUUCUCUCUCAGCAGCUACUGUACCAAGUGUCAGCUUAUUCACUGCUGAUGGAUACCCGAUUCUCCACUGGGAGGUUUCUGAUGGCCGCAGCACUGUGUUGACAGAAGUGUCAGGACCUUAAUGAUUCUCACCCAGGGAGAUUGGUACUUUCUUUUGUAUCGUCUCCCCUCCUUGACUGUCUUAGACCUGGAAACCAUGCAGAGCUAGACAAGAACCAGCAAACAGCACCAAGACAGAACCUCCGGAGAUACAGUCAGAGGGACGUGCCACUCCUACCCAGAGUGGUGUAUUGUCAUUUGGCUGGCCUCCCUGGACCAGCCCACCAUUGCUCCAGUGUGAUUUCGUGGGAAUACGUCCAGGAAUUUCACAUGUCUACCCCGUGAGUGGCACAUAGAAGCAUGCAUUUCCUAACUUUAUCGAUCUCUAUCAGUGUGUGUCUGUUUCAUAGUCUUUGAUCUCUCUAUUAACUUGGAGGGUUUCAUGCUUUUCAUUUUGGACGCUAUAGGUCAGCGUGUCUCUCAUUCACAGCAGUUCACCCAGUUCCCUACAGGUGAGUGACAGGGGCCUCGGGGGUCACAGGUGAACGCGACACUGCAGGUAUAAAUCCAUAUUCACACACUCUUCCAUCAGUUUUGAUAAGGUCACUUUGACUGGCUGAAACGCUUGGGUGUCCCAUCACAUUCAUUUUCAAUGAUUAUUGAUAUUGUUGCUAUGAUGUGGUUAUGGCUCCACAUUAUUUAUAGGUUAUGGGCUUUGGUAUGCUCCUGUUCAUCUGAAACACUAAAUGUGAAAUGUAAUCUUAAGUGUCGCUCUCUUAAUGAUAGGCGUGCUAAGUGGUUGUGCAAUAACUUCAAAUCAACACUACCUAUUAUUAUAGGCUUAGCACACACGGCAUAACAUCUUCCAAAUCCAGUCAUGCCGCCAGUCCUAAUUUUACAAUACCUUUGAGCUUUUAUUAUAUUUAAGAUCAUAUUUUCGAUUUUUAUCCAUAACGGCCAAGGCAUAGAUCUAAAAUAGUCCUGUUUUGUUGUAGUAACUGCUGAUUUUAGAGAAAAAUUGCUGAAAGACUUGUUUGUUGUUAUGGGUCAUUUAUGGAUGGCACUAAUAAAUACUGUUGGGUCUGAUCCACCAGGGUCCGCUAGAGCAAAUUCUCCAGAGAUGGUUUUCAUUGUCCUGAUAUGACCCUGCCAUGCCCCCAGUGGAGACAGAAUGCUUUUCAUAGUCCUGACAUCAGCCUGUCAUGGCCCAGCGAGGACAGUGUCAGUGACAGUUUCACUCUUGAUAGUAGUUGAGAUAAAAAUGUCUGCUAGCAGAUGAGGACACUGCAGUCUGAGAGACUUCAGAGUUUGAGAAUAGCUCGAGGAUGAAGUGUGUAUCCGGUUCAGUGUACAAACACGUAGAAAAAAUGCGGGUUCACAUCCUGUUCGUUUUUUUCAUUACGAACAUAUAUACACACACACACACACAUUAUAUAUGUAUACAUACAUAACACUUUAUUCAUUCUGUCAGUCCAUUGAUAUGUAAAUGGGUGUGAAAGUAUUUUCACAGUAGCGUGUGUGCUCAACUUCCAGUGUGUCUGCAUACACCCUAACCCUCGUGGGAAUGACAUACCACAUGUCUGCCUCCUGUAACUGUGUGCUCAUCUGAGAGGAAUUGAGAGGAACAGGAGGGCUGACCGCUUCCAACCAGGCAGCUGUUUGUAUUGUCAGUCAGAGACCUAUCAGGGGAUUAGAGGUGAAUUCUAGUUCCACAGCUGAAGGUUCCAUUUUUAGAGGCCUACUGAGAAAGAACAGCAUUUUAUUUGGUCAUUACCAAGGACAGGGUAAUAGUUGUAUAAGCAGAGUUGCAGGUUUAUUUGCUGGGUGAUACUGAUCUGAUGUAUGCUAUACUCUGGUCAUGAUAAUGUGUUCCUCAAAUGACAGUGUGUUCCUCAGAAUAUGUUUGGAGUUCACUGCAUGUAUACUCAUUUGAAAUAAAUACUCCAUACACCCAA
This is a long non-coding RNA of Esox lucius (northern pike), 2451 nucleotides long. RefSeq lists it as uncharacterized. Lineage: Eukaryota; Metazoa; Chordata; Actinopteri; Esociformes; Esocidae. The transcript is spliced from 2 exons. The record is from RefSeq and is a predicted model, not a curated record.